AUUGGGUGGCUUGUAACUGUUUUGCAGAUCAAACUUGUCAGGUUCGAAAGAAAGCAGCAAAGGUUUGUAGGUAGUGUAUGGGUCACCUUUUGUU
This 94-nucleotide signal recognition particle RNA is filed under the name bacterium. RNAcentral describes it as "signal recognition particle sRNA small type". It matches the Rfam family "Bacterial small signal recognition particle RNA". From Rfam's summary of the family: The signal recognition particle (SRP) is a universally conserved ribonucleoprotein involved in the co-translational targeting of proteins to membranes. The record is from RNAcentral.